Molecule: ribosomal RNA, 433 nt
Filed under: uncultured bacterium
Lineage: Bacteria
Description: partial 16S ribosomal RNA
Rfam family: Bacterial small subunit ribosomal RNA
Source: RNAcentral
AACGAACGCUGGCAGCAUGCCUAACACAUGCAAGUCGAACGAGACCUUCGGGUCUAGUGGCGCACGGGUGCGUAACGCGUGGGAACCUGCCCUUAGGUUCGGAAUAACUCCCCGAAAGGGGUGCUAAUACCGGAUAAUGUCUUCGGACCAAAGAUUUAUCGCCUUUGGAUGGGCCCGCGUUGGAUUAGCUAGUUGGUAGGGUAAAAGCCUACCAAGGCGACGAUCCAUAGCUGGUCUGAGAGGAUGAUCAGCCACACUGGGACUGAGACACGGCCCAGACUCCUACGGGAGGCAGCAGUGGGGAAUAUUGGACAAUGGGCGAAAGCCUGAUCCAGCAAUGCCGCGUGAGUGAUGAAGGCCUUAGGGUUGUAAAGCUCUUUUACCCGGGAUGAUAAUGACAGUACCGGGAGAAUAAGCACCGGCUAACUCCGUG